CCGCCACACACUCAAGGCUUGUGCCUUACCUGUGCAACCACCAGAAUAAAAGACCCAGACUCCUUGCCCCUUCUUCUACUUUUUCCUCUUCUCUUCUUCACUCCCCCGCACCCCCAACCAAAAAACCCUCUUCUCGUGGAACUGUGGAAGCCUGGCUUGAUCUGUCUGGGUAUGUUCAUUCAAGAAAAUGAAGAGGGAGACUUUUGACCAGUAGGAAUCUUGAUUGUCAACUGGUUGAAGAAAAUACCAAAGAGACACACAGAGAUCACUUACACAUCUGUGAUGGUGCUACUUGACACGACUGGCGUGUGGGACAGCACCUGCAGUGGAAAACAACAUUCCUAAAUGUGAGAAACACUAUCCAAGAGUCUACCAGUCCCAGUGGACAAAAGCAAAGGAGGAAGGCUGGGCACUGCAAGCUCAAUUGCUCUCCAAGUGAAGGCCUUUUGUCUCAGCAGUGAAAAAGUUUGCUUACACAGGUGAGGGGUUCUGUGAAAACAGAAGCAAGAAGAGAGCCACCGCAGCCAUUAGCCAAGGAACAAUAACAAUUGCCGGAAGCCACCACAAGACACAAGUCUCACAGUCUUAAAAGGGAUGAAACUGAAGAUUUAAGUGGAUGUGAGUGUCGCGGACCUCUGAGAACCAGCAAGUCCCCAUUUUAGGAGAAUGCCCCAAUAAGCAAAUGAUUGAAAAAAGAGGCCUGGCUUUAAUCUUGGUUUCCAGACCUGUCUCUGAGGUGAGAUUUCCAUCCUAGAUGCCUGUACUGGCUGGUUUUGUGUGUCAACUUGACACAAGCUGAUGUUAUCACAGAGAAAGGAGCCUCCUUUGAAGAAGUGCCUCCAUGAGAUCCAGCUGUAAGUCAUUUUCUCAAUUAGUGAUCAAAGGUGGGAGGGCCCCUUGUGGGUGGUGCCAUCCCUAGGCUGGUAGUCUUGGGUUCUAUAAGAAGCAAGCCAGUAAGUAACAUCCCUCCAUGGCCUCUGCAUCAGCUCCUGCUUCCUGACCUGCUUGAGUUCCAGUCCUGACUUCCUUUGGUGAUGAACAGCAAUGUGAAAAUGUAAGAAAAGAAAUGUCCAGGGGCUUGUGAGAUAGUUCAAUGGGUAAAGGUGAUUUCUGCCAAAGCUUGCAGCCUGCAUUGGAACUCAUGGACUCACAUGAUGGAAAAAAAGAAUAAACUCUCUCAAUUUACCCUCUGAUUCAACAUGUGUGCUUGGACAUCCACCUUCACAAAGUAAAAUACUUAAUGUUAGUAUCUUUGGCAUUAGGCAAAUACUAUAUGUAAUUUUUUGGGGGGGGGUUGUUUGUUUUUCUUUUUUCUUUUCUUUUUCUUUUUGAUAACACAGGGUUUCUUUAUGUAACCACAGAUGUCCUGGAAUUUAUUCUGUAGACCAGUCUGGCCUCAAACACUCAAACUUACAGAGCUCAGCCUGCCUCUGCCUCUCUGCCUCUCUGCCUCUCUGCCUCUGCCUCUCUGCCUCUCUGCCUCUCUGCCUCUCUGCCUCUCUGCCUCUCUCUCUGCCUCUCUGCCUCUCUCUCUGCCUCUCUCUCUGCCUCUCUCUCUGCCUCUCUCUCUGCCUCUCUCUCUGCCUCUCUCUCUCUGCCUCUCUCUCCCUGCCUCUCUGCCUCUCUGCCUCUCACCCUCUCUGCCUCUCUGCCUCUCUGCCUCUCUGCCUCUCUGCCUCUCUCCCUCUCUGCCUCUCUGCCUCUCUCCCUCUCUUCCUCUCUGCCUCUCUGCCUCUCUGCCUCUGCCUCUCAAGUGCUAGAAUUAAAGGCAUGCACCUCCACUGCCCAGGAGCUUUCUUUUCUUGUUGGGGGAGGAGUUGUUCUAUAUUAUAGAGUUGGGAUACUUUCAUUUCAAAUGCUUUGUAAAGGAUCAGUUUGAGUGUAAAGCCCAGAACACUUCAUUAUGAAGUUGCUGAUACUGUAUCAUCAGCCUUGCUUGUUACCAAGCAAUUGAGGAAGACAGCACUUUAAAACAUCUAGAAAACAGAAUUUGUGACCUCAGAAAAAGCAAUAAUUGUUUUGCAAAUGAAAAGCCAUUUCCUCAAUCCAGCCAGUAACUUAAUCUUCAGAUGCAAAUGUGGUGUGCAUCAUCGACUAACCUGAGGAGGAAGCACCUGUCUGCCUCAGUGCCAACAACAUAUCUCGGCUUGACAGUUAUUAAUUUCUAGUCAAAUUAUCCUGGAAUAGGGUCAAAGACAACUAAUGGUUUUCCUUUACAUUCCCGGAUAUGUUGUUUGUCGGUGUUCAGAAUGAAGUGUUCUAUAAAGAGCUGAAGCUGAAACCACAACCUUCUGUGCUCUCUCCACCAGAGAAUAGCCAGAUUAAUAAACGCACUAACACUUCCCUGUGUCUCCCAUACUUCUACUAACAAACCUAUCAGGAUGUUUGCCC
RNAcentral lists this long non-coding RNA (2391 nucleotides) under Mus musculus (house mouse). RNAcentral's name for it is "predicted gene, 31182". Lineage: Eukaryota; Metazoa; Chordata; Mammalia; Rodentia; Muridae. The record is from RNAcentral.